UACGUAGGCAGCGAGCGUUGUUCGGAGUUACUGGGCGUAAAGGGUGUGUAGGCGGUUGGUUAAGUUUGGUGUGAAAUCUCCCGGCUCAACUGGGAGGGUGCGCCGAAAACUGGGAGGCUAGAGUGCGGGAUGGGAGAGUGGAAUUCCUGGUGUAGCGGUGAAAUGCGUAGAUAUCAGGAGGAACACCUGUGGUGUAGACGGCUCUCUGGACCGCAACUGACGCUGAGACACGAAAGCGUGGGUAGCAAACAGG
RNAcentral lists this ribosomal RNA (253 nucleotides) under uncultured bacterium. RNAcentral's name for it is "partial 16S ribosomal RNA". It matches the Rfam family "Bacterial small subunit ribosomal RNA", at positions 524 to 776 of the family's 1533-position model. The record is from RNAcentral.